ACUAUCUACUGUUCAGGCACGAG
This 23-nucleotide non-coding RNA is filed under the name Cricetulus griseus (Chinese hamster). Lineage: Eukaryota; Metazoa; Chordata; Mammalia; Rodentia; Cricetidae. The record is from RNAcentral.